AGUAACACGUGAGUGACCUGCCUUCUAGACUGGAACAACUUACCGAAAGGUGAGCUAAUGCCGGAUGAGUUAUAUAAGUGCAUGUUUAUAUAGGAAAAGUUGGGGAGACCUGACGCUGAAAGAUGGACUCGCGUCCCAUUAGCUAGUUGGUAGGGUAAUGGCCUACCAAGGCGACGAUGGGUAGCCGGCCUGAGAGGGUGGCCGGCCACACUGGGACUGAGACACGGCCCAGACUCCUACGGAAGGCAGCAG
This 252-nucleotide ribosomal RNA is filed under the name uncultured bacterium. Its description in RNAcentral is "partial 16S ribosomal RNA". It matches the Rfam family "Bacterial small subunit ribosomal RNA", at positions 109 to 354 of the family's 1533-position model. The record is from RNAcentral.